This 447-nucleotide ribosomal RNA is filed under the name uncultured bacterium. RNAcentral's name for it is "partial 16S ribosomal RNA". It matches the Rfam family "Bacterial small subunit ribosomal RNA", at positions 29 to 523 of the family's 1533-position model. The record is from RNAcentral.
AGCGAACGCUGGCGGCAGGCUUAACACAUGCAAGUCGAACGGUCCUUCGGGAUAGUGGCGGACGGGUGAGUAACACGUGGGAACGUACCCUUAGGUUCGGAACAACACAGGGAAACUUGUGCUAAUACCGGAUAAGCCCUUCGGGGGAAAGAUUUAUCGCCUUUGGAGCGGCCCGCGUCUGAUUAGCUUGUUGGUGUGGUAAUGGCCCACCAAGGCUACGAUCAGUAGCUGGUCUGAGAGGAUGGCCAGCCACACUGGGACUGAGACACGGCCCAGACUCCUACGGGAGGCAGCAGUGGGGAAUCUUGCGCAAUGGGCGAAAGCCUGACGCAGCCAUGCCGCGUGGAUGAUGAAGGUCUUAGGAUUGUAAAAUCCUUUCACCGGGGACGAUAAUGACGGUACCCGGAGAAGAAGCCCCGGCUAACCUCGUGCCAGCAGCCGCAGUAA